Molecule: ribosomal RNA, 391 nt
Filed under: uncultured bacterium
Lineage: Bacteria
Description: bacterial SSU rRNA
Rfam family: Bacterial small subunit ribosomal RNA
Source: RNAcentral
GACGAACGCUGGCGGCGUGCUUAACACAUGCAAGUCGAGCGGUAAGGCCCUUUCGGGGGUACACGAGCGGCGAACGGGUGAGUAACACGUGGGUGACCUGCCCUCAGCUCUGGGAUAAGCCUGGGAAACUGGGUCUAAUACUGGAUAUGACUCCACGGUGCAUGUCGUGGGGUGGAAAGCCUUGUGCGGCUGAGGAUGGGCCCGCGGCCUAUCAGCUUGUUGGGGGUGAUGGCCUACCAAGGCGACGACGGGUAGCCGGCCUGAGAGGGCGACCGGCCACACUGGGACUGAGACACGGCCCAGACUCCUGCGGGAGGCAGCAGUGGGGAAUCUUGCGCAAUGGGCGAAAGCCUGACGCAGCGACGCCGCGUGAGGGAUGACGGCCUCGGUU